GGUGCACCUCGCCGAAGGCGAGCGCCUCGACGUUGUCGCCGGCGAGGUCGAGGCCGAGUUCGGCCUGAUGUUCGGCGUCGGCGAGGCACUCCCA
RNAcentral lists this transfer RNA (94 nucleotides) under Virgisporangium aliadipatigenens. RNAcentral's name for it is "tRNA-Asp". The record is from RNAcentral. Lineage: Bacteria; Bacillati; Actinomycetota; Actinomycetes; Micromonosporales; Micromonosporaceae.